AGUACAUAAACGCCUACGUCAGAAUCUGGAGUCAGCUGGAGUGUGCCAGCAGCUCUAUGAGUUUGGAUAAACUCAUUCAGCCAUCUAACUCACACCUCAACUGAGAUACAGAGCAAUUUCAUCACACUCCAGAAUUCCCUCAUAUCCUUUUGUAACCAAGUCCUCCCUCCACCCCUUGGUGAUAACUGACCUGUUUUUGUUCCUUCAGUUUUGCCUUUUCCAGAAUGUCAUAUGAAUGGAAUCAUUCAGAAUGCAGCUUUUAAAGAACUGGUGCCUUUCAAUUAACAUAGCAUCUUUGAGAUUCAUCUAAACUGCUGUGUGUAUUAUAAUUUGUUCCUUUUAUUGCUGAUCAGUGUUUCACUGUACGGAUGUGCUGCAGUUGGUUUAUCCAUUCAUAGCUGACCAAUAUUUGGGUUGUUCCUAGUUUUUGAAGAUUGUGAAUAAAGUUGCUAUAUGUAUUCAUAUGUAGGUUUUUGUGUGGACAUAUAUUUUCACUUGACUUGGAUAAAUACCUAGGAGUGGAAUUUCUGGGUUGUAUGGUAAGUGUAUAUUUAACUUUAUAAGAAACUGCUUAUUGCUUCUCAGCCGUUUGGUGAAGAUCAAGUGUGAAGAAACCACUCAACUGUUUUCCAAAGCAGAUGUUCCAUUUUGCAUUCCCACCAGCAGUGUAUGACAGUCUUAGUUGCUCCAUAUCCUUGCCAGACUUAGUAUUAAAAAAAAAAAAAAAAAAAAAAAAACCAGCUGGGCGCCGUGGCUCAUGCCUGUAAUCCCAACACUUUGGGAGGCCGAGGCCAGUGGAUCACGAGGGCAGGAGAUCAAGACCAUCCUGGCCAAUAUGGUGAAACCCCGUCUCUACUAAAAAUACAAAAAUAAGCCGGGCAUGGCGGCGUGUGCCUGUAGUCCCAGCUACUCGGGAGGCUGAGGCAGGAGAAUUG
This 935-nucleotide long non-coding RNA is filed under the name Homo sapiens (human). RNAcentral's name for it is "non-protein coding lnc-MRPL3-2:12". Lineage: Eukaryota; Metazoa; Chordata; Mammalia; Primates; Hominidae. The record is from RNAcentral.